RNAcentral lists this ribosomal RNA (613 nucleotides) under uncultured bacterium. RNAcentral's name for it is "bacterial SSU rRNA". It matches the Rfam family "Bacterial small subunit ribosomal RNA", at positions 202 to 835 of the family's 1533-position model. The record is from RNAcentral.
GAAAACUCCGGUGGUACGGGAUGAGCCCGCGUCCGAUUAGCCAGUUGGCGGGGUAACGGCCCACCAAAGCGACGAUCGGUAGCCGGCCUGAGAGGGUGGACGGCCACAUUGGGACUGAGACACGGCCCAAACUCCUACGGGAGGCAGCAGUGGGGAAUAUUGCACAAUGGGGGAAACCCUGAUGCAGCGACGCCGCGUGAGUGAAGAAGCGCCUCGGCGCGUAAAGCUCUGUCAGCAGGAACGAUAAUGACGGUACCUGAAGAAGAAGCCCCGGCUAACUACGUGCCAGCAGCCGCGGUAAUACGUAGGGGGCAAGCGUUAUCCGGAUUUACUGGGUGUAAAGGGAGCGUAGACGGCGGGGCAAGUCUGGAGUGAAAGGCCGGGGCCCAACCCCGGGACCGCUCUGGAAACUGCCCGGCUGGAGUGCGGGAGAGGUAAGCGGAAUUCCUAGUGUAGCGGUGAAAUGCGUAGAUAUUAGGAGGAACACCAGCGGCGAAGGCGGCUUACUGGACCGUGACUGACGUUGAGGCUCGAAAGCGUGGGGAGCAAACAGGAUUAGAUACCCUGGUAGUCCACGCCGUAAACGAUGAUCACUAGGUGUCGGGGGUUAACG